RNAcentral lists this transfer RNA (90 nucleotides) under Saprospiraceae bacterium. Its description in RNAcentral is "tRNA-Ser". It matches the Rfam family "tRNA". From Rfam's summary of the family: Transfer RNA (tRNA) molecules are approximately 80 nucleotides in length. The record is from RNAcentral. Lineage: Bacteria; Pseudomonadati; Bacteroidota; Saprospiria; Saprospirales; Saprospiraceae. RNAcentral also lists the same sequence under 1 other name.
GGAGAGGUGCGAGAGUGGAUGAAUCGAGCAGUCUCGAAAACUGCCGUACCUUAACGGGUACCGUGGGUUCGAAUCCCACCCUCUCCGCCA